This 816-nucleotide long non-coding RNA is filed under the name Gossypium barbadense (sea-island cotton). RNAcentral's name for it is "long non-coding RNA (GBAR_LNC015325)". The record is from RNAcentral. Lineage: Eukaryota; Viridiplantae; Streptophyta; Magnoliopsida; Malvales; Malvaceae.
AAAAACCUAAAGAGAACAAAUGUUCUCUGCGCCGCUCUGACGAUUCACCGCCUCCGAAGACCUCCGAUCUUUGCCUCAACUCCGAUGGUUACAGAGAGGGCAAAAAUCCAGCCUUCAGGUACGCCUUCCCUCCUUUACUGCUACUGUUUCUUUCUUUUAAUAACAAUCUAUAGAUGCGAAAUAAAGAAAGAAGAAAAAGGAAAGAAAAGCAACGAACUGCGAAUAUGAGAACAGAAAAAAAAAGAACCCAGUAAUCACCUUUUGAUAUUUCAAAUUUUGUAUUCUGAAUGUGUAAUCCGUUUACAAUGUUCGAAUGGCCCUCUUAUAGCCCGAUUUUAUAGAAAAAAUAAAAAAUAGAAUAAAUAAAAGGUUCCUCCUAUUAAGUUAUCUCCCCAUUUGCUGCUGUUUUCGUGUGUUUUUGCAAGUAUUCGGCCAGCUUGGAGGUACGGAGGGGAUGACGCACCCGCCUGGUGGUGAUGCACGCGUGGGGCUCUGGUUUGGGUUUGCCUACGACGCCGGAACAGAGGAUCAAUGCUGCGGCUGCACCAGAAUGGUCUAGAAACCCUUAGGGUUUUUGAUUUUGGGCCACUGUAAUCGAGUUAUGAAAGUUGAGUUUAAGGUCUGUUUAGGGUCUGGGAUUUAAAUUGGGCCUAUUAUAUUGGACUAGGUUAAUUGGGUUAGAUUUUGGGUCUGUAAUUUUGCUGUAACCUGGAUCUGGACUAUGUAAAUGGACUUUGAAUUUGGUUUUAUUUAUUUAUUUAUUUGGGUUUUAAUAUUUGGGCUAAGGCCGGACAAAAUUUGGGUAUUACACCAGAG